Molecule: transfer RNA, 73 nt
Filed under: Dendronephthya gigantea
Lineage: Eukaryota; Metazoa; Cnidaria; Anthozoa; Malacalcyonacea; Nephtheidae
Description: tRNA-Arg
Rfam family: tRNA
About the family: Transfer RNA (tRNA) molecules are approximately 80 nucleotides in length. Their secondary structure includes four short double-helical elements and three loops (D, anti-codon, and T loops). Further hydrogen bonds mediate the characteristic L-shaped molecular structure. tRNAs have two regions of fundamental functional importance: the anti-codon, which is responsible for specific mRNA codon recognition, and the 3' end, to which the tRNAs corresponding amino acid is attached (by aminoacyl-tRNA synthetases). tRNAs cope with the degeneracy of the genetic code in two manners: having more than one tRNA (with a specific anti-codon) for a particular amino acid; and 'wobble' base-pairing, i.e. permitting non-standard base-pairing at the 3rd anti-codon position.
Source: RNAcentral
GCCUUCGUGGCCUAGCGGAUAAGGCGUCGGCCUCCUAAGCCGAAAAUUGCGGGUUCGAAUUCCGUGGGAGGUA